Callithrix jacchus (white-tufted-ear marmoset) is the source of this 2068-nucleotide non-coding RNA. Lineage: Eukaryota; Metazoa; Chordata; Mammalia; Primates; Cebidae. The record is from RefSeq and is a predicted model, not a curated record.
ACACUGCUCAGCGCUGUCCAAGCUGGGAGGCUGAUGCAGAGGAAAAAGAAAGGAAACACAGUCCUUCCAGGGCCCUGAUGCCACCCUGCCCUGCCAAGUGGAGGGAAGUGUGAGACCAGCGCUCCUCAGAUUCCAGGUCUGAAGCUGUCUUGUCUCGGGAGGAAGCGCUCCUAAAGGCCUGGACUUGGAAGAGCCCCAGCACUUGCAGGGAUCAGGCACCCAGCGGGUCUGGAGGCAGCCAGGUGGUCUGCUGUGUGCCUAUCAAGUCAGCCUCCUGCAGCCCUGCCUCUGGCAGACCAAUGCCUCCCCUUUCACCUCAGAGCCCUCCUUCUUGGGGAAAAGGCAUCCCAAAGGGAGCAGGAAGGGAAAAAAUGAACAUAAAGUCCAACACGACCACCACUUUGCCUCCAGCACACAGGAAGUAGCUCCAGGAGAGCUGCAAUGCCCCCUUUCAUAGGAGCCCAGGUGCCAACCGGUCUUCUGGUCUCCGCACUCAGACUUCGAGAGCGCUACUACCCUACAGACCUCACUUGUUUUCGGUGUAAACUAAGCCUCACCACGAUGCAAAGGAGGCAGAACUGCGGUAGGAAUGGGACGGAGAUCCCAGAUCCCCACCCCCGCAGCAGCGUGGGGACUCCUGCCCCGCCCCUGCACGCCCGGCCCCGCCCCUCACGGGUUUCCCAGACUCCAGGCUGCUGCCACCGUGGGCGGCGGGGGACCCGCGCUGCAUGUGUAAUGGGGGCUGGGAACAAAGACGCGCAGGACCCGGCGGCCGGGUACCAGCAGCCCCGACCUUCUCGCCAGCGCCUCAAUGCCCAGCUCCCCACGCUUCCCAGGACUGGCCAAAAGACCGUCCUGGCGCGCCCGCCGGGUUUGGGGUACCCCAGCACCACUAGGAGAGGGAAAUUGGAGCUUGGGCCUUAGGAGAAAAAAAGCUUUCCAAGCGGAACUCCGCUUGUUUACGCCAGCACCCACACACCCCCAAGCACACAAGCGCUGGCCAAACACCUCCAACCCCACGCCCGUGGUCGCCGGCGAACUAAGUGCGCGGUCACCCACCCCGCCACGUGCCUCCCGAAGGCCCGAGCGAACAGGGACCUGUUGGUUUUCCAUCUUACCCCCUCUCCCCUCCCAAGUGCCUAAACAAAGCGGACCCGCGAAGCGACCACACUCCCCAACCCGGGCCAAAGGCAGGGAAAGAGGGAGCAGGUGGGAGCCAGCACCAACAGCCCGCCGGGCCGGGAACGCGACGCAGACUGGUGGUCUGGGAUGCAGGGGACUGCCUGGGCUGCGCGAAGCCGCCCCCUUCGCUUCACUACACUUAGUGACUCUGAGGGACGUGCAACCCUCCCCGCAUGCCGCUGCUGCUGCACCUACAAUCCUGCCGCCCCCAUGAGAUAUGCCCACCCGCUUGGCCGCCUUCCCCACACUCAGGUUUUCCUCACUCUCUCCCUGGGUUCGACGCGCCCGCGUAGCCUGAACUCCGACCCUGAGGCUCCGUGUCCCGGCCCCCAUCGCAGGGGCGCGUCUAGGAACCAGAACCCCGCAGAAUGAACAGACAAGAUCGUGCCCCCAAGACCUGCGAGCGGGGCACCCGGGAGCUGCGAGCUGAAUGCAGGUGGCGCGGCGACGAGGCCGCGGGCCCGCCCUUUGUUGGUCUGACCGCGCGGAGAACGGCAUGGUAAUCUGUGACCUGCAUGUACACCCCAGAGGAGUUCCUGGAAGAAACGAUCAACCCCUGCAGCGGGCGCCUAACUAACCUGAGACGUUCUUCUAUUGUUUCUGAUUCAGGCCUCAACUGACAAGGCCACUGGACUUUGUAACCCAGCUUGGCCAAACUCGUGACUCCAGACUCCACCACCCCCUCCCAGCUUUGCCAACUUCCUGACUCCACACCCUAGGACCCCCUUCCAGCUUGCAGAACACCACUAGCUGUAACUUCUGUAGCUCUCCGCUGCCCACCCCAAACGUGUAAAACCAACUCCUCUCCCACCGCCCCUCACUGAGGCCCUUUCAGCCUCAGCCCUCCUGCACCCAGGUGAAUAAACAACCAUUUUGCUCACACAAA